CCCUAGCCCAGAUUGAAAUGAAAAGCCCGCAAAGGAAAAACAAAUUAAUUUUCUUGCUACAAAAAAGCGACCAACGGAAGCUCUUUUUGUAGUGUAGAAAAUUUUUGUUUUUCCUGCGGACUUGAAAUGGAAAGCUGGAGUAGCU
RNAcentral lists this small RNA (145 nucleotides) under Flavobacterium lacus. RNAcentral's name for it is "Flavo-1 RNA". It matches the Rfam family "Flavo-1 RNA". The record is from RNAcentral. Lineage: Bacteria; Pseudomonadati; Bacteroidota; Flavobacteriia; Flavobacteriales; Flavobacteriaceae.